RNAcentral lists this ribosomal RNA (253 nucleotides) under uncultured bacterium. RNAcentral's name for it is "partial 16S ribosomal RNA". It matches the Rfam family "Bacterial small subunit ribosomal RNA", at positions 524 to 776 of the family's 1533-position model. The record is from RNAcentral.
UACGAAGGGGGCUAGCGUUGUUCGGAAUCAUUGGGCGUAAAGCGCGUGUAGGCGGCUUGGCAAGUCAGUUGUGAAAGCCCGGGGCCCAACCCCGGAACUGCAUCUGAAACUGCCUGGCUAGAGUCCCGGAGAGGAAGGCAGAAUUCCCGGUGUAGGGGUGAAAUCCGUAGAUAUCGGGAGGAAUACCAGCGGCGAAGGCGGCCUUCUGGACGGUGACUGACGCUGAGACGCGAAAGCGUGGGGAGCAAACAGG